GGGUGCGUAACGCGUAUGCAACCUGCCCCCGACCGGGACAAAACAGCUGGAAACGGCUGCUAAUAUCCCAUGGUCAUGCGGAAGGGCAUCCUUCUUCAUGUAAAGAUUCAUUGGUCGGGGAUGGGCAUGCGUAUUAUUAGGUAGUUGGCGGGGUAACGGCCCACCAAGCCGACGAUGAUUAGGGGUCCUGAGAGGGUUAUCCCCCACACUGGAACUGAGACACGGUCCAGACUCCUACGGGAGGCAGCAGUAGGGAAUAUUGGGCAAUGGGAGCAAUCCUGACCCAGCCAUGCCGCGUGAAGGAAGACGGUCCUAUGGAUUGUAAACUUCUUUUGCCGCAGAGUAACCGCGGGGACGCGUCCCCGCCUGAGAGUAUGCGGCGAAUAAGUAUCGGCUAACUCCGUGCCAGCAGCCGCGGUAAUACGGAGGAUACGAGCGUUAUCCGGAUUCAUUGGGUUUAAAGGGUGCGCAGGCGGACCGUUAAGUCAGGGGUGAAAAGUUGGGGCUCAACUCCAAUCGUGCCUUUGAUACUGGCGGACUAGAGUGCGAUAGGCGUGGCCGGAAUGUGGUGUGUAGCGGUGAAAUGCUUAGAUAUGCCACAGAACACCGAUCGAGAAGUC
This 620-nucleotide ribosomal RNA is filed under the name uncultured bacterium. RNAcentral's name for it is "bacterial SSU rRNA". It matches the Rfam family "Bacterial small subunit ribosomal RNA", at positions 104 to 722 of the family's 1533-position model. The record is from RNAcentral.